CAAGAAGCCGAAAGGCUACUUAAAACCAUCGCGAACUUAUCCAAGUUGCUUCGGCGGCGCGGCUCCCCUCACGGGGGACCGCAGCCCCCGCCUCUCAGGAGGUAAGGGGCAGCCGCCGGAGGUACGAAACUCUGCAUUAUAGUGGUAUCUCUGAGUAUAAAACAAAUAAGUUA
RNAcentral lists this unclassified non-coding RNA (173 nucleotides) under soil metagenome. Its description in RNAcentral is "partial internal transcribed spacer 1". The record is from RNAcentral.